GUGUGUGUAUGAUGUAGAAUGAAAGUAAACACUAGAACAAUAAUAAUGUAGCCACGUAAAUUUUUUUUUAAAAAAAUUUUACAAGAGCUGUGUUUCACAAUCAGUUCGAUCGGCUAGUUUCAAAUUCGACCGAUUUAAAUCGUCAGUUAUCUGGCGCGAUUGCUCUGACAACUGGAAUGAAUCUGUUCUUGAUUGGCCUUUGCUGUUCUUCAUCAUGAUUGGGCUACGAAUGCGUGGCCUGGGAGGAUGCCUUGGGCUUGGAGCAGUCAUGGCAAAAAUUCAAGAAAGGGAGACAAAUUCGGAGAACGGAAACUGACAUGUCCAGCCCCCCAGCAGCUUGGAAUUGCUUUUAGUCGAAUGAGAUUUUCCAACAACCCGGCGGUCAUUUCAGCCUGAGUUCCAUAGUUAUGAGGAGUUUGUUCGUAGACACUUGAUGUGCCUCCUCAUUAUUGGAUCGAUUAGCAUGCCUAUUACUUGACGACAAGGUGACAAGAGGAAAACAGAUGGGGUUGAAUCAUCAAUACAAUGUUCAAAUAGAGUGCCACCUAACUACUUCCCGGUCUAUCACAUGCUUACAGAGGGAUGAAAUAAUUUUAGAAAAGUCAAUUCCUACUAUCUGGCGAUAUUUUGGGUUUGCUCUUGCCUGAAUAUGUUGAUGACAUGGUAAGAGAAUUCCUCAAUAAAACUGUUCAUUAAAUGUUUAUUUGACAUAAUUCUUUGAUAGGACAGUGGUUGGACCCUUGCUUGGUGGAGCCAAAUAUCAUUAGCUCAUCUUUAUUCACUAGUUCAAUAUGCACAAUGUAAUUGGUUCUAUAAGUUCCAAGGACAUGGUUUGAGGAUGUGCUCCGCCAAUGCAUAGGGCUGUGGCAUAAGGUCACCUAGAAAUGCACUCAGUUGUAUCGCCUAUGGUUGAUUUUCAGUCAUAAUUUUAAUAUGGAAAGGCGACCACGGGAGCUAGAGAGGCUAGUAGGAAAAAAUCCAUAUCGCCCCACAAUGAAAUCAGGAAGCUGACACACUGUUUCUCAACCAUAAGAGGUCAAUGAACAAGAAGAUGAUUUGCCAGUAGAUACUCCAACUAAUGUGCCUCAGAGGAGCACUAGAUUGAACAAGGAUAAGAAAAAGAGGAGCAAGAAAAGUUUAAGGGAAGUACUUAUUGGGGGUGGAGCUGGUCUAGAUAGCUGCGGAAGCUUAAUCAGGUUUGUUAGGUUGCAACCAUCUAAAAUAAGGGGUCAGGAUUAGCUGUAUCACAACCAUAAUGUAUGGGAGAAUGUUUUAUGAUUGCUUAUAGAUGGUAGUAAAAUGAAUAGUAUAAAAUGGGUUAUGUGUAGUUCAAUUACAACGCUGCCAAUUUGUGAUCAUUCUAG
Long non-coding RNA from Coffea arabica (coffee), 1364 nucleotides. RefSeq lists it as uncharacterized. The record is from RefSeq and is a predicted model, not a curated record. Lineage: Eukaryota; Viridiplantae; Streptophyta; Magnoliopsida; Gentianales; Rubiaceae.